AGUUUGAUCCUGGCUCAGAUUGAACGCUGGCGGCAUGCUUUACACAUGCAAGUCGAACGGCAGCGCGGGGGCAACCCUGGCGGCGAGUGGCGAACGGGUGAGUAACGCAUCGGAAUGUACCCAGUAGUGGGGGAUAACUAGUCGAAAGACUGGCUAAUACCGCAUACGCACUGAGGUGAAAACGGGGGAUCGCAAGACCUCGCGCUAUUGGAGCAGCCGAUGUCCGAUUAGGUAGUUGGUGGGGGUAAGAGCCUACCAAGCCGACGAUCGGUAGCUGGUCUGAGAGGACGACCAGCCACACUGGGACUGAGACACGGCCCAGACUCCUACGGGAGGCAGCAGUGGGGAAUUUUGGACAAUGGGGGGCAACCCUGAUCCAGCAAUGCCGCGUGUGUGAAGAAGGCCUUCGGGUUGUAAAGCACUUUUGGCGGGAGGAAGGGUAGUAACCUAAUACGUUGCUACUUUGACGUUACCGACAGAAUAAGCACCGGCUAACUUCGUG
RNAcentral lists this ribosomal RNA (502 nucleotides) under uncultured bacterium. Its description in RNAcentral is "bacterial SSU rRNA". It matches the Rfam family "Bacterial small subunit ribosomal RNA", at positions 10 to 507 of the family's 1533-position model. The record is from RNAcentral.